Molecule: ribosomal RNA, 176 nt
Filed under: uncultured bacterium
Lineage: Bacteria
Description: partial 16S ribosomal RNA
Rfam family: Bacterial small subunit ribosomal RNA
Source: RNAcentral
GCUGGAAUCGCUAGUAAUCGCAGAUCAGAAUGCUGCGGUGAAUACGUUCCCGGGUCUUGUACACACCGCCCGUCACACCAUGGGAGUUGGGAAUGCCCGAAGUCAGUGACCCAACCGCAAGGAGGGAGCUGCCGAAGGCAGGCUUGAUAACUGGGGUGAAGUCGUAACAAGGUAUC